CUUGCCGAUCUAGCUGAGCAGUUUAAGAAACAUACCAUUAAGAGAGUAUAUGUCAGCAUUACUUGUGGGGUACCAGCUUCAGUCGCAGGACGCGUUGAUAUUCCAAUUGGUCGUGAUUCUAAUAACAGAAUCCGCAUGGCUGCUAUCCCUGGAACACCUAAAAGUGGAAAAUCUCGUCAUGCUGUCAGUAGGUAUAAAGUAAUCGAAAAACUUGCUGGGGGUGGCUCGGCAUUGGUUGAAUGGAGGCUAGAAACUGGUCGCACUCAUCAGAUACGUGCUCAUGCGAAG
RNAcentral lists this unclassified non-coding RNA (288 nucleotides) under Hevea brasiliensis (rubber tree). Lineage: Eukaryota; Viridiplantae; Streptophyta; Magnoliopsida; Malpighiales; Euphorbiaceae. The record is from RNAcentral.